UAAAAAAACUAUACGUAUAUUAGGAGCUAGGCUCCUAUGCUUUCGGAAGCACGAAAACCUCCGCAUUUGUAAGUUAUUUUGGAUGAUGAGAUGUUUGAUUCGACGAUCGAUUUCGUUAGAUAUGAUUUACGCUAGUAGAACUAUUUAGAAACCAAAUUUCAUAAUUUUUUGAUUUCGUUUGCCUAAUGAACGAGUGGCCUCAAAAUGAACGACUAAAAAUAAAAUUAUAUAAAAAAAUAAUGAUAAAAGACUCGAAUUUUAAAUCAGAAAUAUUAUUGUUAUUCUUAAUAUUAAGUAGAAUUUUGUAUCAAAAUUUUAUAUAAUUUAAAUUUUUUUGCACUGUUGAACUUACAAACGUGCCACAUCAGUCAUUAACCUUCGAUCACGUAUUUGGUAAAUAAAAUCAAAAAAUUAUGAAAUUUGGUUUCUAAAUAGUUCUAAUAACGUAGAUCAUAUCUAAUGAAGCCGAUCGUCGAAUCGGAUAUCCUAUCAUCUAAAAUAACUUACAACCAUGAAGGCUUCCGUACUUUUGAAAGUACAGGAAACAUAGUCCGUAUAUUAGAUCCUAAUCCUUUAAUCCAUCC
This 584-nucleotide long non-coding RNA is filed under the name Ananas comosus (pineapple). Its description in RNAcentral is "long non-coding RNA (ACOM_LNC004400)". The record is from RNAcentral. Lineage: Eukaryota; Viridiplantae; Streptophyta; Magnoliopsida; Poales; Bromeliaceae.